GCAUUUGUAUGUUAUCCUAAGACGAAGCAAGAAGUCAUCGUUGUUCCACUAAAAAUGCGGCACUAAGCGGCAAUAUCGGCAACAAUGGAUCUGCGGCAAAAAUAAAAUUGCGGCGAUGCAUGGCCAUGGCAAAAACGGCAAUCGGCAAAUAAAAACAGAUAGAAUCAAAUUCAAAUUGAUUAUCUGCAACGUGUGGCAACGUGCGGCCGAAUAUGAUCGCUUCCUUGGCUGCGGGCGGCAACGUGCGGCUAAAGAUGAAACGAACGGCAAGUAACGGCUAAAACGCUGAUGUAAAUAAAAUUCACAAAUUUUAUAAUAGUAUGGUAGCAAUGCGUGCAUUGUUUAUCGUAAUGAGGUCACGCUUGCAGUAAACAAAUCGUUUCAAAUCAAGGGGAUGAAGUCCGCGGAUUCAAGUUCCUAUGCUUUAAAAGAAAUUCGUUUGUGAGGUCAUAAAACAAACGAUCGGCGGUGGCGAUUCUGACGUUGAUUUUUCGGCAUAUCAAUUCCUCAAAUAUUACGGUUGCUCCGAGGGAUGGUGAAAUUCGGUCCCGGCUCAUUCCUAUUGCCGGGAGUGUCACCCAUGUAAAAACAACAAAAAUAGCCAUAACGACAACUAAACAUUAUAAACUCAUUUAGCUUAAUAUAUCAUAUAAAAUAAAUAACAAAAUCAAUAUGUAUUAACUUAAGUAAUAAGUAUAAAUUAUAAACGAAUAA
Long non-coding RNA from Adelges cooleyi (spruce gall adelgid), 714 nucleotides. RefSeq lists it as uncharacterized. The record is from RefSeq and is a predicted model, not a curated record. The transcript has 4 exons. NCBI's taxonomy places the organism in Eukaryota, Metazoa, Arthropoda, Insecta, Hemiptera, Adelgidae.